This 595-nucleotide ribosomal RNA is filed under the name Entoloma sp. RNAcentral describes it as "partial small subunit ribosomal RNA". It matches the Rfam family "Bacterial small subunit ribosomal RNA", at positions 370 to 950 of the family's 1533-position model. Lineage: Eukaryota; Fungi; Basidiomycota; Agaricomycetes; Agaricales; Entolomataceae. The record is from RNAcentral.
AAUGCUCGCNAGAGUGAACUAGCUAACUGAAAUCACAGGAUCCACUACGUGUGGUGAAUGUUAUAACGUAAGGGAAAAAAAUGAUAUUACCUUACUAUUAGUGUUGUCCAAAACUGGUGCCAGAAGACUCGGUAAGGCCAGAGACGCAAACGUUAGUCGUCCUAAUCAGGCGUAAAGGGUAAGUAGGCUGCUUUAAAAGUUUAAUAUAAUAUUUUAAUAGCUCUGUUUAAAACAAAUAAAUAUCAUUUAUUUAAACAGUAAAAUAUAAAUGAAUUAAAGCUAGGAUCAAAUUGAGGAUAAUUUAAAUAAUACUUAGUGUAGGGUUUACAUCUGGUGAUACUAAGGGGAGUACUAACGGUGAAAGCUUUUUAUCUAGAAAUGAUUGACGCUGAGGAACGAAGGUGAGAAUAGGAAAUAGGAUUAGAUACCCAGAUACCUCUCACAGUCAACGAUGAAUGGUGGUUGUUAGUUAGUUUUAUUUAACUGAUAACGAUGUUAACACGAUAACCAUUCCGCCUUGCGAGUACGGUUGCAAAACUGAAACCAAAAAAAUUAGUCGGUCUCGAAGCAAACGAAGUGAAGCAUGUUAUUUAAU